This 253-nucleotide ribosomal RNA is filed under the name uncultured bacterium. Its description in RNAcentral is "partial 16S ribosomal RNA". It matches the Rfam family "Bacterial small subunit ribosomal RNA", at positions 524 to 776 of the family's 1533-position model. The record is from RNAcentral.
UACGUAGGGGGCAAGCGUUGUCCGGAAUCAUUGGGCGUAAAGCGCGUGUAGGCGGCUCGAUAAGUCUGCUGUGAAAGUCCAGGGCUCAACCCUGGGAUGCCGGUGGAUACUGUCGAGCUCGAGUCCGGAAGAGGCGAGUGGAAUUCCUGGUGUAGCGGUGAAAUGCGCAGAUAUCAGGAAGAACACCCGUGGCGAAGGCGGCUCUCUGGGACGGUACUGACGCUGAGACGCGAAAGCGUGGGGAGCGAACAGG